RNAcentral lists this ribosomal RNA (253 nucleotides) under uncultured bacterium. RNAcentral describes it as "partial 16S ribosomal RNA". It matches the Rfam family "Bacterial small subunit ribosomal RNA", at positions 524 to 776 of the family's 1533-position model. The record is from RNAcentral.
UACGAAGGGGGCUAGCGGUGUUCGGAAUCACUGGGCGUAAAGCGCACGCAGGCGGAUCGAUAAGUCGGGGGUGAAAGCCCGGGGCUCAACCCCGGAAUUGCCUUCGAUACUGUCGGUCUCGAGUCCGGGAGAGGUGAGUGGAAUUCCUAGUGUAGAGGUGAAAUUCGUAGAUAUUAGGAAGAACACCAGUGGCGAAGGCGGCUCACUGGCCCGGUACUGACGCUCAGGUGCGAAAGCGUGGGGAGCAAACCGG